RNAcentral lists this long non-coding RNA (714 nucleotides) under Apteryx owenii (little spotted kiwi). RNAcentral describes it as "lncRNA (ENSAOWG00000002859.1)". The record is from RNAcentral. Lineage: Eukaryota; Metazoa; Chordata; Aves; Apterygiformes; Apterygidae.
GCAGUUUGGCUUCUGAUGUUGUGAAGUGCCAAAUCACUCUGCACUGAUAGUGGUGGGGCCAUACAUGUGAGCCCAGAGCUGGCUGGCCCAUUGUAAAGUGAGGUCAUCAAACCACCCGACACUGUGCAGAAUGAGCAUUUACAGAAGGUCUGGAGAAGUGAGGAUGGGACCUGGAGCUGUGGUGAAAUUACUGCAGAUAGAUCUGUGGCCUUUUCCUGUUGUGCGUCUCUGUCUAAGGAUGAAGACACCUAACGGAGUAGGGCCCAAGGAGAGGAGGAUGGACAGAUCAUCCGAGAUUGCUCAGACAGAUCAAGAAUCACGGCAAAUGGAAGAAGGUCUGUCAGUGUUACCUGGAGAAUCCUCCUCGAGCUGGAACUUCAUAGAAUGAGGAACAUAUGGACACAUACCAAAAGACUGUUUUCAUACUAAAUCCAUUUGAACAGAAGACAGCUGUGCUCCCUAAUGCAGACAUGGACCACAGUAUAUAGAGAUUAGGUGUUUAUUCCAGGGUCACAGAGGAAUUUGGUAGCAGAGCUGGUAAAUGGGUAGGACCCCAGGUCAAUUUCAUGCCAUGAUACCACCUUUCUUCUAAUUCUACUGCAUUAAAGUUACUAAACCUGCCUCACUUUUUGUUGUGCCAAACCUACUGCAGGAUCAAAGAAAGCAUAUACCUAAGUGCAUGAAUUUCCUCUCCCUUGAAUUUCAAGCAACAUG